GGGGAAUAUUGCGCAAUGGGCGAAAGCCUGACGCAGCGACGCCGCGUGAGGGAUGAGGGUUUUCGGAUCGUAAACCUCUGUCAGAAGGGAAGAAACUACGUUGUGCUAAUCAGCAGCGUACUGACGGUACCUUCAAAGGAAGCACCGGCUAACUCCGUGCCAGCAGCCGCGGUAAUACGGAGGGUGCAAGCGUUAAUCGGAAUUACUGGGCGUAAAGCGCACGUAGGCUGUAGUGUAAGUCAGGGGUGAAAUCCCACGGCUCAACCGUGGAACUGCCUUUGAUACUGCACAACUUGAAUCCGGGAGAGGGUGGCGGAAUUCCAGGUGUAGGAGUGAAAUCCGUAGAUAUCUGGAAGAACAUCAGUGGCGAAGGCGGCUUUCUGGACUGUAACUGACGCUGAGGCAUGAAAGCGUGGGGAGCAAAC
This 425-nucleotide ribosomal RNA is filed under the name uncultured bacterium. RNAcentral's name for it is "bacterial SSU rRNA". It matches the Rfam family "Bacterial small subunit ribosomal RNA", at positions 356 to 773 of the family's 1533-position model. The record is from RNAcentral.